This 159-nucleotide ribosomal RNA is filed under the name Lichtheimia corymbifera. RNAcentral's name for it is "partial 5.8S ribosomal RNA". The stretch from base 1 to 105 matches the Rfam family "5.8S ribosomal RNA", at positions 50 to 154 of the family's 154-position model. From Rfam's summary of the family: 5.8S ribosomal RNA (5.8S rRNA) is a component of the large subunit of the eukaryotic ribosome. It is transcribed by RNA polymerase I as part of the 45S precursor that also contains 18S and 28S rRNA. The record is from RNAcentral. Lineage: Eukaryota; Fungi; Mucoromycota; Mucoromycetes; Mucorales; Lichtheimiaceae.
AAAGUGCGAUAAUUAUUGCGACUUGCAUUCAUAGCGAAUCAUCGAGUUCUCGAACGCAUCUUGCGCCUAGUAGUCAAUCUACUAGGCACAGUUGUUUCAGUAUCUGCAACUACCAAUCAGUUCAACUUGGUUCUUUGAACCUAAGCGAGCUGGAAAUGG